GACGAACGCUGGCGGCGUGCUUAACACAUGCAAGUCGAGCGGUAAGGCCCUUUCGGGGUACGACGAGCGGCGAACGGGUAGGAGUAACAACGUGGGUGGACCUCGCCCUCCAGCUCUGGGAGUAAGACCCGGGAAACCGUAGGUCGUAAUAACCGGAUAUGACUCCAUGACGCAUGUUGUGGGGUGGAAAGACCUUGUGCGGCUGAGGAUGGGCCCGGCCGGCCUAUCAGCUUGUUGGUGGGGUGAUGGCCUACCAAGGCGACGACGGGUAGCCGGCCUGAGAGGGCGACCGGCCACACUGGGACUGAGACACGGCCCAGACUCCUACGGGAGGCAGCAGUGGGGAAUCUUGCGCAAUGGGCGAAAGCCUGACGCAGCGACGCCGCGUGAGGGAUGACGGCCUGG
RNAcentral lists this ribosomal RNA (405 nucleotides) under uncultured bacterium. RNAcentral's name for it is "bacterial SSU rRNA". It matches the Rfam family "Bacterial small subunit ribosomal RNA", at positions 28 to 419 of the family's 1533-position model. The record is from RNAcentral.